Molecule: ribosomal RNA, 484 nt
Filed under: uncultured bacterium
Lineage: Bacteria
Description: partial 16S ribosomal RNA
Rfam family: Bacterial small subunit ribosomal RNA
Source: RNAcentral
AUUGAACGCUGGCGGCAUGCUUUACACAUGCAAGUCGAACGGCAGCGCGGGCUUCGGCCUGGCGGCGAGUGGCGAACGGGUGAGUAAUGCAUCGGAACGUGCCCAGUAGUGGGGGAUAGCCCGGCGAAAGCCGGAUUAAUACCGCAUACGACCUGAGGGUGCAAGCGGGGGACCGAAAGGCCUCGCGCUAUUGGAGCGGCCGAUGUCGGAGUAGAUAGUUGGUGGGGUAAAGGCUUACCAAGGCGACGAUCCGUAGCUGGUCUGAGAGGACGGCCCGCCACACGGGGACUGAGACACGGCCCAGACUCCGACGGGAGGCAGCAGUGGGGAAUUUUGGACGAGGGGGGCAACCCUGAUCCAGCCAUGCCGCGUGCGGGAAGAAGGCCUUCGGGUUGUAAACCGCUUUUGUUCGGGAAGAAAUCCUCUGGGCUAAUACCCCGGGAGGAUGACGGUACCGGAAGAAUAAGCACCGGCUAACUACGUG